This 134-nucleotide small nuclear RNA is filed under the name Bathycoccus prasinos. RNAcentral's name for it is "U4 spliceosomal RNA". It matches the Rfam family "U4 spliceosomal RNA". Rfam says of the family: U4 small nuclear RNA (U4 snRNA) is a component of the major U2-dependent spliceosome. The structure of U4 snRNA from yeast and human has been reported. Lineage: Eukaryota; Viridiplantae; Chlorophyta; Mamiellophyceae; Mamiellales; Bathycoccaceae. The record is from Rfam by way of RNAcentral.
AUCUUUGCGCUCGGGGUACUACUCAUAGACAUGACCAUUAGGGAUCUUGAGUAAUUGCUGAUUGAAAACAAAAUCAUCCGAACUUCGAUCGUCGCAAGACGUUCGAGAAUUUUUGUAAGUGCUUCUACAAAGCA